AUAAAGUUUUAUUCUUGCUUGAUUAUUUGUUUUAUGUUUGCUUUAUAUGUAAAAUUUUAUGUGUUGAAUUUUGGUGUCUUGAAGACUUAGAAUUUUAUUUAUUCGCAGUAAUUGAUUUUUAAUAAUUAGGUAUUCCUUGAAUUAGCUUUUAUAAUAAUAUUGGCAAAUGUCGUGCCAGCUGCCGCGGUUAUACGAUUUAAUGUAAACAAAUUUUUUUAGUUUUAGUUACUUGUAUUGAUUAGGAUUAAAUAUUUAAUUUGUUAGGUAGAAUUUUUAAUUAUAUUAAUUUCUUGGUGAAGAUGGGGAAGCUGUGAAAUUUAAUUUUUAGACUAGGAUUAGAUACCCUAUUAUUUUAAACGUAAUUAAUAAUACUUGGGUAGUAUUAGGUGUUUCUUGAAACUCAAAGAAUUUGGCGGUAUUUUAGUCCUUUCAGAGGAAUCUGUUUUUUUAUCGAUAUUCCACGUUAUAUCUUGCUUUAUUUUGUUAUUCAGUAUGUAUACCGCCGUUAUCAGAAUGUUUUUUUAGAAUAAUAAUUUUCUUUAUUUUUUAUUAUGAGUAAUUUCAGGUCAAGGUGCAGUUUAUAGUAAAGUUGAAAUGGAUUACAAUAAAAUUUAUUUAUAAUGGAUUUUUAUAUGAAAUUGUAGUUUGAAAGUGAAUUUGAUAGUAAUUUAUUAUAUAAUAUUUAUUUGAUUUUGGCUCUAAAAUAUGUACACAUCGCCCGUCGCUCUCAUUUUAAGGUGAGAUAAGUCGUAACAUAGUAGAUGUACUGGAAAGUGUAUCUAGAAGUAAUAGU
RNAcentral lists this non-coding RNA (793 nucleotides) under Grylloblatta sculleni. The record is from RNAcentral. Lineage: Eukaryota; Metazoa; Arthropoda; Insecta; Grylloblattodea; Grylloblattidae.